RNAcentral lists this transfer RNA (63 nucleotides) under Rattus norvegicus (Norway rat). It matches the Rfam family "tRNA", at positions 1 to 62 of the family's 71-position model. From Rfam's summary of the family: Transfer RNA (tRNA) molecules are approximately 80 nucleotides in length. Lineage: Eukaryota; Metazoa; Chordata; Mammalia; Rodentia; Muridae. The record is from Rfam by way of RNAcentral.
GGGGAUUUAGCUCAGUGGUAGAGUGCUUGCCUAGCAAGCACAAGACCCUGGGUUCAGUCCCCA